UACGUAGGGUGCAAGCGUUGUCCGGAAUCAUUGGGCGUAAAGCGCGUGUAGGCGGUCCGGUAAGUCCGCUGUGAAAGUCGGGGGCUCAACCCUCGGAUGCCGGUGGAUACUGUCGGGCUUGAGUACGGAAGAGGCGAGUGGAAUUCCUGGUGUAGCGGUGAAAUGCGCAGAUAUCAGGAGGAACACCAAUUGCGAAGGCAGCUCGCUGGGACGUUACUGACGCUGAGACGCGAAAGCGUGGGGAGCAAACAGG
Molecule: ribosomal RNA, 253 nt
Filed under: uncultured bacterium
Lineage: Bacteria
Description: partial 16S ribosomal RNA
Rfam family: Bacterial small subunit ribosomal RNA
Source: RNAcentral